This 72-nucleotide transfer RNA is filed under the name Bos taurus (domestic cattle). It matches the Rfam family "tRNA". From Rfam's summary of the family: Transfer RNA (tRNA) molecules are approximately 80 nucleotides in length. Their secondary structure includes four short double-helical elements and three loops (D, anti-codon, and T loops). Further hydrogen bonds mediate the characteristic L-shaped molecular structure. tRNAs have two regions of fundamental functional importance: the anti-codon, which is responsible for specific mRNA codon recognition, and the 3' end, to which the tRNAs corresponding amino acid is attached (by aminoacyl-tRNA synthetases). tRNAs cope with the degeneracy of the genetic code in two manners: having more than one tRNA (with a specific anti-codon) for a particular amino acid; and 'wobble' base-pairing, i.e. permitting non-standard base-pairing at the 3rd anti-codon position. RNAcentral also lists the same sequence under 9 other names. Lineage: Eukaryota; Metazoa; Chordata; Mammalia; Artiodactyla; Bovidae. The record is from Rfam by way of RNAcentral.
UCCUUGGUGGCUCAGAUGGUAAAGAAUCUGCCUGCAAUGCAGGAGACCCAGGUUCAAUCCCUGGGUCAGGAA